This 294-nucleotide ribosomal RNA is filed under the name Oxyrrhis marina. Its description in RNAcentral is "partial Eukaryotic large subunit ribosomal RNA". It matches the Rfam family "Eukaryotic large subunit ribosomal RNA", at positions 2372 to 2666 of the family's 3401-position model. Lineage: Eukaryota; Dinophyceae; Oxyrrhinales; Oxyrrhinaceae. The record is from RNAcentral.
CAAGGGAACGGGCUUGGAAUAAUCAGCGGGGAAAGAAGACCCUGUUGAGCUUGACUCUAGUCCGACACCGUGAGUCGACUUGAGGGGUGUAGAAUAAGUGGGAGGGUUCGCCCGCCGGUGAAAUACCACUACCUUCAAUGUUGAUUCACUUAUUCAAUGGGGCGGGGCUGUACUUCGGUGCACCUUGUGGCUCUAAGCGCUGCCUUUGGUGGCGUGACCCGCGUUGAAGACGCUGUCAGGUGGGGAGUUUGGCUGGGGCGGCACAUCUGUUAUACGACAACGCAGGUGUUCAAA